RNAcentral lists this ribosomal RNA (433 nucleotides) under uncultured bacterium. Its description in RNAcentral is "partial 16S ribosomal RNA". It matches the Rfam family "Bacterial small subunit ribosomal RNA", at positions 28 to 507 of the family's 1533-position model. The record is from RNAcentral.
GACGAACGCUGGCGGCAUGCCUAACACAUGCAAGUCGAACGAAACCUUCGGGUCUUUUGGCGCACGGGUUCGUAACGCGUGGGAAGCUUCCCUUAGGUUCGGAAUAACUCCCCGAAAGGGGUGCUAAUACCGGAUAAUGUCUUCGGACCAAAGAUUUAUUGCCUUUGGAUGGGCCCUCGUUGGAUUCGCUAGUUGGUAGGGUAAUAGCAUACCAAGGCGACGAUCCAUAGCUGGUCUGAGAGGAUGAUCAGCCACACUGGGACUGAGACACGGCACAGACUCUUACGGGAGGGAGGAGUGGGGAAUAUUGGAAAAUGGGCGAAAGGAUGAUGCAGCAAUGCCGCGUGAGUGAUGAAGGCAUUAGGGUUGUAAAGCUCUUUUAACCGGGAUGAUAAUGACAGUACCGGGAGAAUAAGCUCCGGCUAACUACGUG